UGCGUUGGCGGAAUAUUAAGUCAGUGGUGAAAUCCUGCGGCUCAACCGUAGAACUGCCAUUGAUACUGAUAUUCUUGAAUGUAGUUGAGGUAGGCGGAAUGUGUAAUGUAGCGGUGAAAUGCUUAGAUAUUACACAGAACACCGAUUGCGAAGGCAGCUUACUAAACUAUGAUUGACGCUGAGGUACGAAAGCGUGGGGAGCGAACAGGAUUAGAUACCCUGGUAGUCC
Molecule: ribosomal RNA, 229 nt
Filed under: uncultured bacterium
Lineage: Bacteria
Description: partial 16S ribosomal RNA
Rfam family: Bacterial small subunit ribosomal RNA
Source: RNAcentral